Molecule: long non-coding RNA, 285 nt
Filed under: Malus domestica (apple)
Lineage: Eukaryota; Viridiplantae; Streptophyta; Magnoliopsida; Rosales; Rosaceae
Description: long non-coding RNA (MDOM_LNC000101)
Source: RNAcentral
UACAAGAACCAGUGACACCAUAUGCUCAUACCAAUUUCGAACUCCACAAUUUGAAACACACAACACUCAAGAUUGAAGUCAAGGGUUGUAACAGGGCUUGGGGGUAAUGGCUAACAAAGAAAGGAUAAGGAUAACAAACGUUCUUAAAGCGAUAGCAAACAAAGCAAUGAAAUAGACACUUGGAAAUCACUUUAGAAUGCAUAAUCAACUUUUAAAUGCAAAGGGAAGAUUCAUGCAACACUUAGGGCCGAAUUCAAUGUUUCGGACCCUUUUUUAACAAACAAC